AAAGUCGUAACAAGGUCUCCGUUGGUGAACCAGCGGAGGGAUCAUUACAGAGUUGCAAAACUCCCAACCAUUGUGAACCUACCUCACCGUUGCUUCGGCGGGUGGCCCGCUAAACCCGCGCCGCGCCAGCCCCUCUCUUGGAGGGUCGGCAACCCGUCAGAGGACCGAAAUUCUUCGUCAUCAGUGGCCUCUCUGAGUAACUUAUACAAUAAGUCAAAACUUUCAACAACGGAUCUCUUGGUUCUG
This 246-nucleotide unclassified non-coding RNA is filed under the name Ascomycota sp. Its description in RNAcentral is "partial contains small subunit ribosomal RNA, internal transcribed spacer 1, and 5.8S ribosomal RNA". The stretch from base 1 to 47 matches the Rfam family "Eukaryotic small subunit ribosomal RNA", at positions 1785 to 1831 of the family's 1831-position model. The record is from RNAcentral. Lineage: Eukaryota; Fungi; Ascomycota.